AAGUUAGCCAAAGCAGCCCAGGGCCGCCGCCCAGCGCCCCCGAGCCCCGAGGAGAGCCGUCGCGACCGGGGGCUGCCUGGGCAAGGGCGGGGCGAGAGGGCAGAACGCCUGCUCUCGGACAGAUCUGGGGACCCUUCACCUGCCUCUACUACUGCAAAUGAUUGGAUAUUCGUCUGACUUGGCUCUUCCCUAAUGUGUGGAACUAAUUUUGUUCACUCUGUUUCAUGCUGGACCUGGCCUGAAAAUGGGCCCUUAUAUUGUCUUUGCACUUUCCAACUUGCCAAGUUUCUGAAAGAAGGACCAAAGUAAUGCCAAGAACUCCCAGAUGAAGAGGACCUUCCUUAGACCUAUAACAGAUUCACUACUUGACUUCAGAGGGAAGUUUCAGCUAAUUCUCAGGAAAAGGUCAAAACAGGCCUGUGACUGUCCCUUGAAUACUGAAGGUAUAAACAAGCUUCUGGCUCCUCCAGGUCAAGCAGAGGAACACUUUUAUUAGAAUGAAGGGUUACUUCUUUGUUAUUCAAACACACACCCACACACAUCCUCUGUAGUCUCCCUAAUGAAAAACCUCAACAGAUGGAGAGCCUGAGCUCCCAAGUCCGCAGGCUGAGAAGAUGCACUUCACUCAAGGGCCAGUGGGCUGGUACAGACUAGGGAAGAGAAAAGGGACAAAGGCUGCUAGUAUAGGUAAUCACUAUCUUUUAAUACUCCUAACACAUAGAAAUUCGAAAAAUCUUGUUCAGCAAUGUUAGCAGCCUGUGAGCCUCGGAAACUAAUUUGGCUGAUGUGUCUCUGAUAGGGAGCUUGGGGCUGCACCAAGGGGAAACAUUCUCCUCCUGUAUUCUCUCCUCUCUCUCGUUUGAAAGCCUGUACAAAGAAAUGGUACAAAUGGAUGGUUAACUUAAUGAUUCCAUCAGAGGCAGAUUUUUCUCUGUCAGGUCCCUGGAUAAGGUGGAGGUCUGAAAGCCAGGAGACAGAAUAUGU
This 984-nucleotide long non-coding RNA is filed under the name Homo sapiens (human). RNAcentral describes it as "non-protein coding HAGLR:8". The record is from RNAcentral. Lineage: Eukaryota; Metazoa; Chordata; Mammalia; Primates; Hominidae.